This 577-nucleotide ribosomal RNA is filed under the name uncultured bacterium. Its description in RNAcentral is "bacterial SSU rRNA". It matches the Rfam family "Bacterial small subunit ribosomal RNA", at positions 78 to 634 of the family's 1533-position model. The record is from RNAcentral.
AGCAAUCCCUGAUUAGAGUGGCAAACGGGUGAGUAACACGUGGGUGACCUGCCUUCGAGUGGGGGAUAACCUUCCGAAAGGAGGGCUAAUACCGCAUGACAUACCGUGUUUGGAUACACGGAUAUCAAAGCCGGGGAUCGCAAGACCUGGCGCUUGGAGAGGGGCCCGCGUCCGAUUAGCUAGUUGGUGAGGUAACGGCUCACCAAGGCUCCGAUCGGUAUCCGGCCUGAGAGGGCGGACGGACACACUGGAACUGAGACACGGUCCAGACUCCUACGGGAGGCAGCAGUGGGGAAUUGUUCGCAAUGGGCGAAAGCCUGACGACGCAACGCCGCGUGGAGGAUGAAGAAUUUCGGUUCGUAAACUCCUUUCGACCGAGAUGAAUACCCAUGGGCUUAAUACGCCUGUGGGCUGACAGUAUCGAGAGAAGAAGCCCCGGCUAACUCUGUGCCAGCAGCCGCGGUAAUACAGGGGGGGCAAGCGUUGUUCGGAACUACUGGGCGUAAAGGGUUCGUAGGUGGCCACUUAAGUCAGACGUGAAAUCCCUCAGCUUAACUGGGGAACUGCGUCUGAUACU